GCGGGUAUAGUUCAGUGGUAAAACAUAACCUUCCCAAGGUUAAGUCGCGAGUUCGAUUCUCGUUACCCGCU
The sequence is a transfer RNA, 71 nucleotides long. It matches the Rfam family "tRNA". From Rfam's summary of the family: Transfer RNA (tRNA) molecules are approximately 80 nucleotides in length. Their secondary structure includes four short double-helical elements and three loops (D, anti-codon, and T loops). The record is from Rfam.